Molecule: ribosomal RNA, 498 nt
Filed under: uncultured bacterium
Lineage: Bacteria
Description: partial 16S ribosomal RNA
Rfam family: Bacterial small subunit ribosomal RNA
Source: RNAcentral
AUUGAACGCUGGCGGCAUGCCUUACACAUGCAAGUCGAACGGUAACGCGGGGCAACCUGGCGACGAGUGGCGAACGGGUGAGUAAUGCAUCGGAACGUGCCCAGUAGUGGGGGAUAGCCCGGCGAAAGCCGGAUUAAUACCGCAUACGACCUACGGGUGAAAGGGGGGGAUCGCAAGACCUCUCGCUAUUGUACCGGCCGAUGUCAGAUUAGGUAGUGGGUGGGGUAAAAGCCUACCAAGCCGACGAUCUGUAGCUGGUCUGAGAGGACGACCAGCCACACUGGGACUGAGACACGGCCCAGACUCCUACGGGAGGCAGCAGUGGGGAAUUUUGGACAAUGGGGGAAACCCUGAUCCAGCCAUGCCGCGUGCGGGAAGAAGGCCUUCGGGUUGUAAACCGCUUUUGUCAGGGAAGAAACGCUCUGGGCUAAUACCUUGGAGUAAUGACGGUACCUGAAGAAUAAGCACCGGCUAACUACGUGCCAGCCGCCGCCGUAA